RNAcentral lists this ribosomal RNA (253 nucleotides) under uncultured bacterium. Its description in RNAcentral is "partial 16S ribosomal RNA". It matches the Rfam family "Bacterial small subunit ribosomal RNA", at positions 524 to 776 of the family's 1533-position model. The record is from RNAcentral.
UACGUAGGGUGCAAGCGUUGUCCGGAAUUAUUGGGCGUAAAGAGCUCGUAGGCGGUCUGUCACGUCGGCUGUGAAAACCUGGGGCUCAACCCCGGGCCUGCAGCCGAUACGGGCAGACUAGAGUUCGGCAGGGGAGACUGGAAUUCCUGGUGUAGCGGUGAAAUGCGCAGAUAUCAGGAGGAACACCGGUGGCGAAGGCGGGUCUCUGGGCCGAAACUGACGCUGAGGAGCGAAAGCGUGGGGAGCAAACAGG